This 414-nucleotide ribosomal RNA is filed under the name uncultured microorganism. Its description in RNAcentral is "bacterial SSU rRNA". It matches the Rfam family "Archaeal small subunit ribosomal RNA", at positions 459 to 872 of the family's 1478-position model. The record is from RNAcentral.
CAGCCGCCGCGGUAAUACCGGCGGCCCGAGUGGCGGUCACUAUUAUUUGGCUUAAAGCGUCCGUAGCCGGGUUGGGAAGUCCUCCGGGAAAUCUGGCCGCUUAACGGUCAGAAUGCCGGAGGAUACUCCCAGCCUAGGGAGCGGGAGAGGCCGAGGGUAUUCCCGGAGUUGGGGUGAAAUCCUAUAAUCCCGGGAGGACCACCUGUGGCGAAGGCGCUCGGCUGGAACGCGUCCGACGGUGAGGGACGAAGGCCAGGGGAGCAAACCGGAUUAGAUACCCGGGUAGUCCUGGCUGUAAACGAUGCGGACUUUGUGUCGGACAAGCUAUGAGCUUGUCCGGUGCCGGAGGGAAACCGUUAAGUCCGCCGCCUGGGGAGUACGGCCGCAAGGCUGAAACUUAAAGGAAUUGGCGGG